AAGAGGUUUUUUGAUGUUUUCAUCAAAACUUCCCACCCUUUGUUAUUUCUGUCUGAAAUUUACAGCUUCGGUAAGACUGGUUGAUUUGUUGUUUAUCAACAAGUCAAACGAUUGACAGUUUGUCACAAAACUGUUGAUUAGUGCUUACCGUUAGCAUAUUAUACUCUGAUAAUUUGAUUUGUCUGAUAAACCAAAAAAAUUAAUCA
RNAcentral lists this unclassified non-coding RNA (206 nucleotides) under uncultured fungus. RNAcentral's name for it is "sequence contains ITS1, 5.8S rRNA gene". Lineage: Eukaryota; Fungi. The record is from RNAcentral.